This 500-nucleotide ribosomal RNA is filed under the name uncultured bacterium. RNAcentral's name for it is "partial 16S ribosomal RNA". It matches the Rfam family "Bacterial small subunit ribosomal RNA", at positions 30 to 523 of the family's 1533-position model. The record is from RNAcentral.
AUUGAACGCUGGCGGAAUGCUUUACACAUGCAAGUCGAACGGCAGCACGGACUUCGGUCUGGUGGCGAGUGGCGAACGGGUGAGUAAUGUAUCGGAACGCGCCCAGUCGUGGGGGAUAACGUAGUGAAACUUACGCUAAUACCGCAUACGAUCUAUGGAUGAAAGCGGGGGAUCGCAAGACCUCGCACGAUUGGAGCGGCCGAUAUCAGAUUAGGUAGUUGGUGGGGUAAAGGCCCACCAAGCCAACGAUCUGUAGCAGGUCUGACAGGACGCCCAGCCACACUGGAACUGAGACACGGUCCAGAUUCCUGCGGGAGGCAGCAGUGGGGAAGUUUGGACAAUGGGCGAAAGCCUGAUCCAGCCAUUCCGCGUGCAGGAUGAAGGCCCUCGGGUUGUAAACUGCUUUUGUACAGAACGAAAAGGUUUCUACUAAUACUAGGAGCUCAUGACGGUACUGUAAGAAUAAGCACCGGCUAACUACGUGCCAGCCGCCGCAGUAA